Molecule: ribosomal RNA, 582 nt
Filed under: uncultured Eustigmatophyceae
Lineage: Eukaryota; Eustigmatophyceae
Description: SSU rRNA
Rfam family: Eukaryotic small subunit ribosomal RNA
Source: RNAcentral
CGCGGUAAUUCCAGCUCCAAUAGCGUAUACUAAAGUGUUGCAGUUAAAAAGCUCGUAGUUGGAUUUCUGGCGGGGACGGCUGGUCGGUCUCGAAAGGGGCUGUACUGUUGUUGGUUCCCGUCAUCCUUGGGGAGAGCGGCUUUUACAUUAAGUUGUCGGCGUCGGGAUCCCUAUCUUUUACUGUGAAAAAAUUAGAGUGUUCAAAGCAGGCUUAGGCCCUGAAUACAUUAGCAUGGAAUAAUAAGAUACGACCUUGGUGGUCUAUUUUGUUGGUUUGCACGCCAAGGUAAUGAUUAAUAGGGAUAGUUGGGGGUAUUCGUAUUCAAUUGUCAGAGGUGAAAUUCUUGGAUUUAUGGAAGACGAACUACUGCGAAAGCAUUUACCAAGGAUGUUUUCAUUAAUCAAGAACGAAAGUUAGGGGAUCGAAGAUGAUUAGAUACCAUCGUAGUCUUAACCAUAAACUAUGCCGACUAGGGAUCGGUGGGUGCAUUUUUAGGCCUCAUCGGCACCUUAUGAGAAAUCAAAGUCUUUGGGUUCCGGGGGGAGUAUGGUCGCAAGGCUGAAACUUAAAGAAAUUGACGG